This 462-nucleotide ribosomal RNA is filed under the name uncultured bacterium. RNAcentral's name for it is "bacterial SSU rRNA". It matches the Rfam family "Bacterial small subunit ribosomal RNA", at positions 8 to 507 of the family's 1533-position model. The record is from RNAcentral.
AGAGUUUGAUCAUGGCUCAGGAUGAACGCUGGCGGCGUGCCUAAUACAUGCAAGUCGAGCGGAAAGGCCUCUUCGGAGGUACUCGAGCGGCGGACGGCAGAGUAACGCGUAGGAACAUACCCCAAACUGAGGGAUAACUGCCCGAAAGGGUGGCUAAUACCGCAUGUGAUCUUCGGAUUAAAGCUUCGGCGGUUUGGGAAUGGCCUGCGUUCGAUUAGCUAGUUGGUGAGGUAAAGGCUCACCAAGGCGACGAUCGAUAACUGGUCUGAGAGGAUGAUCAGUCUGACUGGAACUGAGACACGGUCCAGACUCCUACGGGAGGCGGCAGUAGGGAAUUUCCACAAUGGGCGAAAGCCUGAUGGAGCAACGCCGCGUGCAGGAUGAAGGCCCUUGGGUCGUAAACUGCUUUUAUGUGAGAAGAAUAUGACGGUAACACAUGAAUAAGGGUCGGCUAACUACGUG